This 582-nucleotide ribosomal RNA is filed under the name uncultured Eustigmatophyceae. RNAcentral's name for it is "SSU rRNA". It matches the Rfam family "Eukaryotic small subunit ribosomal RNA", at positions 575 to 1159 of the family's 1831-position model. The record is from RNAcentral. Lineage: Eukaryota; Eustigmatophyceae.
CGCGGUAAUUCCAGCUCCAAUAGCGUAUACUAAAGUGUUGCAGUUAAAAAGCUCGUAGUUGGAUUUCUGGCGGGGACGGCUGGUCGGUCUCGAAAGGGGCUGUACUGUUGUUGGUUCCCGUCAUCCUUGGGGAGAGCGGCUCUCACAUUAAGUUGUCGGCGUCGGGAUCCCUAUCUUUUACUGUGAAAAAAUUAGAGUGUUCAAAGCAGGCUUAGGCCCUGAAUACAUUAGCAUGGAAUAAUAAGAUACGACCUUGGUGGUCUAUUUUGUUGGUUUGCACGCCAAGGUAAUGAUUAAUAGGGAUAGUUGGGGGUAUUCGUAUUCAAUUGUCAGAGGUGAAAUUCUUGGAUUUAUGGAAGACGAACUACUGCGAAAGCAUUUACCAAGGAUGUUUUCAUUAAUCAAGAACGAAAGUUAGGGGAUCGAAGAUGAUUAGAUACCAUCGUAGUCUUAACCAUAAACUAUGCCGACUAGGGAUCGGUGGGUGCAUUUUUAGGCCUCAUCGGCACCUUAUGAGAAAUCAAAGUCUUUGGGUUCCGGGGGGAGUAUGGUCGCAAGGCUGAAACUUAAAGAAAUUGACGG